AGCUAAUAGAUACCCGGGUAGUCCACGCCCUAAACGAUGUCUACUAGUUGUUGGUGGAGUAAAAUCCAUGAGUAAACGCAGCUAAACGCGUGAAGUAGACCGCCUGGGGAGUACGGUCGCAAGAUUAAAACUCAAAGGAAUUGGCGGGGGCCCGCACAAGCGGUGGAUUAUGUGGAUUAAAUUCGAUGCAACGCGAAAAACCUUACCUGGCCUUGACAUGCCACUAACGAAGCAGAGAUGCAUUAGGUGCCCGUAAGGGAAAGUGGACACAGGUGCUGCAUGGCUGUCGUCAGCUCGUGUCGUGAGAUGUUGGGUUAAGUCCCGCAACGAGCGCAACCCUUGCCAUUAAUUGCCAUCAUUUAGUUGGGCACUUUAAUGGGACUGCCGGUGACAAACCGGAGGAAGGUGGGGAUGACGUCAAGUCCUCAUGGCCCUUAUGGCCAGGGCUUCACACGUAAUACAAUGGUCGGUACAGAGAGUUGCCAACCCGCGAGGGGAGCUAAUCUCAGAAAGCCGAUCGUAGUCCGGAUUGUUCU
This 536-nucleotide ribosomal RNA is filed under the name uncultured bacterium. RNAcentral describes it as "bacterial SSU rRNA". It matches the Rfam family "Bacterial small subunit ribosomal RNA", at positions 767 to 1304 of the family's 1533-position model. The record is from RNAcentral.